RNAcentral lists this ribosomal RNA (500 nucleotides) under uncultured eukaryote. RNAcentral's name for it is "SSU rRNA". It matches the Rfam family "Eukaryotic small subunit ribosomal RNA", at positions 34 to 537 of the family's 1831-position model. The record is from RNAcentral.
AUGUUCAAGAUUAGCCAUGCAUGUCUCAGUAUAAGCUUCUAUACGGCGAAGCUGCGAAUGGCUCAUUAAAACAGUUAUAGUUUAUUUGGUGGUCAGCAAUUACAUGGAUAACCGUGGUAAUUCUAGAGCUAAUACAUGCGCCCAAACCCGACUUCGUGGAAGGGUUGUGUUUAGUAGAUACAGAACCAACCCAGGCUCCGCCUGGCCUUGAGGUGAUUCAUAAUAACCGAACGAAUCGCAUGGCUAUGCCGGCGAUAGACCAUUCAAGUUUCUGACCUAUCAGCUAUCGUCGGUAGGGUAUUGGCCUACCGUGGCAAUGACGGGUAACGGAGAAUUAGGGUUCGAUUCCGGAGAGGGAGCCUGAGAAACGGCUACCACAUCUAAGGAAGGCAGCAGGCGCGCAAAUUACCCAAUCCUGACGCAGGGAGGUAGUGACAAGAAAUAACAAUACAGGGCAUACAUGUCUUGUAAUUGGAAUGAGUAAACUUUAAAUCACUUUA